Molecule: small RNA, 292 nt
Filed under: Cryptococcus neoformans H99
Lineage: Eukaryota; Fungi; Basidiomycota; Tremellomycetes; Tremellales; Cryptococcaceae
Description: Cryptococcus neoformans var. grubii H99 hypothetical RNA
Source: RNAcentral
UAUCACUCCUUACACACCUGUUCUCCCUAGAUUGCUCAAUGGCCUGUCUCUCUCGACUCCUAGACGCAUUCGUAUCAGGACCUAUCCCCUCCUCAUGCGCUAUUCGUCCUGCACUGUUCUGCACCGAACUUUUCUGCCGUGCAUUCCUUGUUGAUUUGAGGGACUGAAAGUUGGACAUUCUCAAGUCCAGCUGAUUGGGAUUGGUUUUGAUAAGACAAAGUGAACAGAAUGCGAAGGAUCCAUUAACGGGCUGAUAAUCGGCGAAGUGAGCAAUGCGAAGAGAUGAAGAGGU